GAUGAACGCUAGCUACAGGCUUAACACAUGCAAGUCGAGGGGAAACGAUGAGAGAGCUUGCUCUCUUAGGCGUCGACCGGCGCACGGGUGAGUAACGCGUAUCCAACCUGCCCAUUACAGGGGAAUAACCUUGCGAAAGUAAGACUAAUGCCCCAUGGUAUUCUCAGCAGACAUCUAAUGAGGAUUAAAGAUUUAUCGGUAAUGGAUGGGGAUGCGUCUGAUUAGCUUGUUGGCGGGGUAACGGCCCACCAAGGCGACGAUCAGUAGGGGUUCUGAGAGGAAGGUCCCCCACAUUGGAACUGAGACACGGUCCAAACUCCUACGGGAGGCAGCAGUGAGGAAUAUUGGUCAAUGGACGAGAGUCUGAACCAGCCAAGUAGCGUGCAGGACGACGGCCCUAUGGGUUGUAAACUGCUUUUAUAGGGGAAUAAGGUGAUCCACGUGUGGAUUAUUGUAUGUACCCUAUGAAUAAGGACCGGCUAAUUCCGUGCCAGCAGCCGCGGUAAUACGGAAGGUUCGGGCGUUAUCCGGAUUUAUUGGGUUUAAAGGGAGCGUAGGCCGUAGAUUAAGCGUGUUGUGAAAUGUAGAUGCUCAACAUCUGACUUGCAGCGCGAACUGGUUUACUUGAGUGUGCGCAACGUAGGCGGAAUUCGUCGUGUAGCGGUGAAAUGCUUAGAUAUGACGAAGAACUCCGAUUGCGAAGGCAGCUUACGGGAGCACAACUGACGCUGAAGCUCGAAGGUGCGGGUAUCAAACAGG
RNAcentral lists this ribosomal RNA (759 nucleotides) under uncultured Prevotella sp. RNAcentral's name for it is "bacterial SSU rRNA". It matches the Rfam family "Bacterial small subunit ribosomal RNA", at positions 28 to 776 of the family's 1533-position model. Lineage: Bacteria; Pseudomonadati; Bacteroidota; Bacteroidia; Bacteroidales; Prevotellaceae. The record is from RNAcentral.